AUUGAACGCUGGCGGCAGGCCUAAUACAUGCAAGUCGAGCGGACGAAGGGAGCUCGCUCUUGGAUUCAGUGGCGGACGGGCGAGUAGUGCCCAGGAAUCUGACCGGUAGUGGGGGAUAACGUCAGGAAACGGGCGCUAAUAUCGUAUACGAUCUGAGGGAGAAAGUGGGGGAUCUUUGGACCACACGCUAUCUGAUGUCACUAGGACGGAUUUGCUAGUUGGUAGGGUAAAGGCCUACCAAGGCGACGAUCCGUAACUGGUCUGAGAGGAUGAUCAGUCACACUGGAACUGAGACACGGUCCAGACUCCUACGGGAGGCAGCAGUAGGGAAUAUUGGGCAAUGGGCGAAAGCCUGAUCCAGCCAUGCCGCGUGUGUGAAGAAGGUCUUCGGAUUGUAAAGCACUUUUAGUUGGGAGGAAGGGCAGUAUGUGAAUACCUUGCUGUUUUGACGUUACCAACAGAGUAAGCACCGGCUAACUUCGUG
RNAcentral lists this ribosomal RNA (484 nucleotides) under uncultured bacterium. Its description in RNAcentral is "partial 16S ribosomal RNA". It matches the Rfam family "Bacterial small subunit ribosomal RNA", at positions 30 to 507 of the family's 1533-position model. The record is from RNAcentral.